GGAGAGAUGGCGGAGCGGUCAAUCGCACCUGACUGUAAAUCAGGCGCCUUCGGGCUACGUAGGUUCAAAUCCUGCUCUCUCCACCA
This 86-nucleotide transfer RNA is filed under the name Alphaproteobacteria bacterium. RNAcentral's name for it is "tRNA-Tyr". It matches the Rfam family "tRNA". From Rfam's summary of the family: Transfer RNA (tRNA) molecules are approximately 80 nucleotides in length. Their secondary structure includes four short double-helical elements and three loops (D, anti-codon, and T loops). The record is from RNAcentral. Lineage: Bacteria; Pseudomonadati; Pseudomonadota; Alphaproteobacteria.